CACGCCGUAAACGGUGGGUACUAGGUGUGGGUUCCUUUUCACGGGAUCCGUGCCGUAGCUAACGCAUUAAGUACCCCGCCUGGGGAGUACGGCCGCAAGGCUAAAACUCAAAGGAAUUGACGGGGGCCCGCACAAGCGGCGGAGCAUGUGGAUUAAUUCGAUGCAACGCGAAGAACCUUACCUGGGUUUGACAUACACCAGACGCAUUCAGAGAUGGAUGUUCCCUUGUGGUUGGUGUACAGGUGG
RNAcentral lists this ribosomal RNA (246 nucleotides) under uncultured Gordonia sp. RNAcentral's name for it is "partial 16S ribosomal RNA". It matches the Rfam family "Bacterial small subunit ribosomal RNA", at positions 796 to 1041 of the family's 1533-position model. The record is from RNAcentral. Lineage: Bacteria; Bacillati; Actinomycetota; Actinomycetes; Mycobacteriales; Gordoniaceae.